AUUUGUGGCCAAACUUCCUUGUCAAUGCCUGAGCUUGUCAAAUCUCAGAAGCUAAACUGGGCUGGGCCUGGUUAGUACAUGGAUGGGAGGCCACUGGGAAUAUCAGGUGCCACAAUGG
Molecule: ribosomal RNA, 118 nt
Filed under: Periophthalmus magnuspinnatus
Lineage: Eukaryota; Metazoa; Chordata; Actinopteri; Gobiiformes; Gobiidae
Source: RNAcentral